GUGCUUGCUUCAGUAGUACAUAUACUAAAAUUGGGACGAUACAGAGAAGAUCAGCAUGGCCCCUGCACAAGGAUGACAUGCAAAUUCAUAAAGCGUUCCGUAUUUUU
Molecule: small nuclear RNA, 107 nt
Filed under: Ochotona princeps (American pika)
Lineage: Eukaryota; Metazoa; Chordata; Mammalia; Lagomorpha; Ochotonidae
Source: RNAcentral